CUUUCGAAUGCUUUGUCGGAGUGAUGUUAUUGCAAUAAGGGCUUGGAAUGAGAUAGAGACGGUUCUAGGGCAGCACCGCCAUGGAAAUGAGAAGCACAGCUUGCAGAAGAAAUACAAGGAUCCCUGACAAAGUUAGAGGCAGAAGAUUGAGUAUUUUCCUAAGAAUGCUUGCCCUCCAGUGUGGACUCCUCGACAUUCGAGAUGCCAGAUUUAUUUCACUUCAGUCAUUAACUUUAGAUGUUUCGUAUUUUAAGUAUAGUACUCCUGUUGGUACUUGGUACCCCGACAUGCCACCUGAAAAGCUCAAGUGACUCAGUGUCGUCCCGUUGCCGAAGUUCUGCGUAUUGACCGUAACGUCUGGGAGGACUGGGGCUAGUUGCGAGCUCGAGGAUAGAUAGGGAGCAGCCAAUGGGAUGCCGUUCUUAAGCCACGUGGACAUAGCGCCCUGCUGACCGCUGACCUGACAGGUGAGAUUGAGGUCGCUGGUUCGGUUCACUUUAAAAGUGGCGCCGGGAGGAGAGACGUCUGGUACGCUUCCUGGAAAUUAAUCGAAAUUAAUUAACAACUCGAGCUACUGGUGGACAAAUUGGCUACUGGAAAAUAGUUGAAGUUAAUAAGUAUAGCCAGUAACACAAGCGUUAUCACAUGACUUUUGGAAUAUUCAAAAUGCUUAAAAUAAAUCAUCACGUCACUAAAAG
This is a long non-coding RNA of Nematostella vectensis (starlet sea anemone), 698 nucleotides long. RefSeq lists it as uncharacterized. The record is from RefSeq and is a predicted model, not a curated record. The transcript is spliced from 3 exons. NCBI's taxonomy places the organism in Eukaryota, Metazoa, Cnidaria, Anthozoa, Actiniaria, Edwardsiidae.